RNAcentral lists this ribosomal RNA (496 nucleotides) under uncultured bacterium. RNAcentral describes it as "partial 16S ribosomal RNA". It matches the Rfam family "Bacterial small subunit ribosomal RNA", at positions 29 to 507 of the family's 1533-position model. The record is from RNAcentral.
AUGCACGCUGGCGGCGUGCCUAAUCCCUGCAAGUCGCGCGAACAGACGAGGAGCUUGCUCCUCUGACGUUAGCGGCGGACGGGUGAGUAACACGUGGAUAACCUACCUAUAAGACUGGGAUAACUUCGGGAAACCGGAGCUAAUACCGGAUAAUAUAUUGAACCGCAUGGUUCAAUAGUGAAAGACGGUUUUGCUGUCACUUAUAGAUGGAUCCGCGCCGCAUUAGCUAGUUGGUAAGGUAACGGCUUACCAAGGCGACGAUGCGUAGCCGACCUGAGAGGGUGAUCGGCCACACUGGAACUGAGACACGGUCCAGACUCCUACGGGAGGCAGCAGUAGGGAAUCUUCCGCAAUGGGCGAAAGCCUGACGGAGCAACGCCGCGUGAGUGAUGAAGGUCUUCGGAUCGUAAAACUCUGUUAUUAGGGAAGAACAAAUGUGUAAGUAACUAUGCACGUCUUGACGGUACCUAAUCAGAAAGCCACGGCUAACUACGUG